GACGUAGGGCGCGAGCGUUGUCCGGAUUUAUUGGGCGUAAAGAGCUCGUAGGCGGCUUGUCGCGUCGAAUGUGAAAUCUCAGGGCUCAACUCUGACAUUGCAUUCGAUACGGGCAGGCUAGAGUUCGGUAGGGGAGACUGGAAUUCCUGGUGUAGCGGUGAAAUGCGCAGAUAUCAGGAGGAACACCGGUGGCGAAGGCGGGUCUCUGGGCCGAUACUGACGUGAGGAGCGAAAAGCGUGGGGGAGCGAACAGG
This 254-nucleotide ribosomal RNA is filed under the name uncultured bacterium. Its description in RNAcentral is "partial 16S ribosomal RNA". It matches the Rfam family "Bacterial small subunit ribosomal RNA", at positions 524 to 776 of the family's 1533-position model. The record is from RNAcentral.